RNAcentral lists this ribosomal RNA (465 nucleotides) under uncultured Staphylococcus sp. Its description in RNAcentral is "bacterial SSU rRNA". It matches the Rfam family "Bacterial small subunit ribosomal RNA", at positions 338 to 795 of the family's 1533-position model. The record is from RNAcentral. Lineage: Bacteria; Bacillati; Bacillota; Bacilli; Caryophanales; Staphylococcaceae.
CCUACGGGAGGCAGCAGUAGGGAAUCUUCCGCAAUGGGCGAAAGCCUGACGGAGCACCGCCGCGUGAGUGAUGAAGGUCUUCGGAUCGUAAAACUCUGUUAUUAGGGAAGAACAUACGUGUAAGUAACUAUGCACGUCUUGACGGUACCUAAUCAGAAAGCCACGGCUAACUACGUGCCAGCAGCCGCGGUAAUACGUAGGUGGCAAGCGUUAUCCGGAAUUAUUGGGCGUAAAGCGCGCGUAGGCGGUUUUUUAAGUCUGAUGUGAAAGCCCACGGCUCAACCGUGGAGGGUCAUUGGAAACUGUAAAACUUGAGUGCAGAAGAGGAAAGUGGAAUUCCAUGUGUAGCGGUGAAAUGCGCAGAGAUAUGGAGGAACACCAGUGGCGAAGGCGACUUUCUGGUCUGUAACUGACGCUGAUGUGCGAAAGCGUGGGGAUCAAACAGGAUUAGAUACCCCAGUAGUC